UACGUAGGAACCAAGCGCUGUCCGAAUUUACUGGGCGUAAAGGGCGCGUAGGCGGUCUGUUAAGUCUUAUGUGAAAUCUCCCGGCUCAACCGGGAGGGGUCAUGAGAUACUGGCAGACUUGAGGGCAGUAGAGGGAAGCGGAAUUCCCGGAGUAGUGGUGAAAUGCGUAGAUACCGGGAGGAACACCAGUGGCGAAGGCGGCUUCCUAGACUGUGCCUGACGCUGAGGCGCGAAAGCGUGGGGAGCAAACCGG
Molecule: unclassified non-coding RNA, 253 nt
Filed under: uncultured Dehalococcoidia bacterium
Lineage: Bacteria; Bacillati; Chloroflexota; Dehalococcoidia
Description: contains 16S-23S intergenic spacer region
Rfam family: Bacterial small subunit ribosomal RNA
Source: RNAcentral